Molecule: small RNA, 39 nt
Filed under: Arabidopsis thaliana (thale cress)
Lineage: Eukaryota; Viridiplantae; Streptophyta; Magnoliopsida; Brassicales; Brassicaceae
Source: RNAcentral
GUAAGACUUGACUCUUUAAAAAAUUCCGAUCAACAACUU